AGCGAACGCUGGCGGCAGGCUUAACACAUGCAAGUCGAGGGGAGCGGCAGACGGGUGAGUAACGCGUGGGGACGUACCUUUUGGUUCGGAACAACACAGGGAAACUUGUGCUAAUACCGGAUACCGAAAGAUCGGCCCGGGUCUGAUUAGCUGGUUGGUGAGGUAAUGGCUCACCAAGGCGACGAUCAGUAGCUGGUCUGAGAGGAUGAUCAGCCACAUUGGGACUGAGACACGGACCAAACUCCUACGGAAGGCAGCAGGGGGGAAUAUGUGACAAUGGGGGCAACAAUGAUCCAGCCAGGCCGCGUGAGUGAUGAAGGCCAUAGGGUUGUAAAGCGCUGUUGUGCGGGAAGCGGUACCGCAAGAAUAAGCACCGGCUAACUCCGUGCCAGCAGCCGCGGUAAUAC
This 407-nucleotide ribosomal RNA is filed under the name uncultured bacterium. RNAcentral's name for it is "partial 16S ribosomal RNA". It matches the Rfam family "Bacterial small subunit ribosomal RNA", at positions 29 to 526 of the family's 1533-position model. The record is from RNAcentral.